Non-coding RNA from Schizosaccharomyces pombe (fission yeast), 246 nucleotides. The record is from the annotation of a GenBank genome assembly. Lineage: Eukaryota; Fungi; Ascomycota; Schizosaccharomycetes; Schizosaccharomycetales; Schizosaccharomycetaceae.
AAUGCAAGUUUACCCUAGGGGGAAAGGCGUCCGAAGGCUCAGGGGGGGAAGGGUUUGGAGGAAAAUGCGAAGCGGCAAUGAAUUUGGACGGAUUGGUUUGAUGGGGAUGGGCGAAAGAACGGCGGAAAUCGAUGGGAGAUAUGUGGAGGAAGGGAAGAAGAGUAGGCAAAAAAGAAAGCGAGUAGGCAGAAAAAAUGGAUGAAAAGAGAGAGAAGCAAGAAGGUUUUAUGAUUAUAAAUGUAAAAU